AGGGUGCUAGCUUGCUAGAACUUAGAGACAGGUGCUGCACGGCUGUCGUCAGCUCGUGUCGUGAGAUGUUGGGUUAAGUCCCGCAACGAGCGCAACCCACGUAUUUAGUUGCUAACGGUUCGGCCGAGCACUCUAAAUAGACUGCCUUCGUAAGGAGGAGGAAGGUGUGGACGACGUCAAGUCAUCAUGGCCCUUAUGCCCAGGGCGACACACGUGCUACAAUGGCAUAUACAAUGAGACGCAAUACCGCGAGGUGGAGCAAAUCUAUAAAAUAUGUCCCAGUUCGGAUUGUUCUCUGCAACUCGAGAGCAUGAAGCCGGAAUCGCUAGUAAUCGUAGAUCAGCCAUGCUACGGUGAAUACGUUCCCGGGUCUUGUACUCACCGCCCGUCACACCAUGGGAGUUGAUUUCACUCGAAGCCGGAAUACUAAACUAGUUACCGUCCACAGUGGAAUCAGCGACUGGGGUGAAGUCGUAACAAGGUAACCGUAGGAGAACCUGCGGUUGGAUCACCUCCUUUCUAG
This 523-nucleotide ribosomal RNA is filed under the name Campylobacter coli. RNAcentral describes it as "bacterial SSU rRNA". It matches the Rfam family "Bacterial small subunit ribosomal RNA", at positions 1007 to 1533 of the family's 1533-position model. Lineage: Bacteria; Pseudomonadati; Campylobacterota; Epsilonproteobacteria; Campylobacterales; Campylobacteraceae. RNAcentral also lists the same sequence under 1 other name. The record is from RNAcentral.